UAUAUGAAGCUAUAGAUAGAGCAAAGUUGGCAAUUAAAAGAGAUUGUCGCUACUACACUGAGUAUUGGAAAAUUAUUGAUACUCGAUGGUCUUUUCAAUUGCAUCAAGAUUUGCAUGUGGCUGGUAAGUGUUACGAUUUCAAUUAUAAAAUGUAUAUUUAUUUACAAUUAUUAAUUGCCUUCUUAUUUUUGAAGGAUAUUUUUUAAAUCCUCAAUUCCAAUAUGGUGUUACCUCAUCCAAUGAAAUGAUAAGAGAAGUGAUGGAUGGACUUAAAAAAGUAAUUACCAGACUGGAGCCUAAUAUGGAUGCUCAAGUGAAAGCAACAAAUCAACUGAGUGGUGGAUUAUUCAUGGCAGUUGUGCUCCUGAA
This is a non-coding RNA of Camellia sinensis, 369 nucleotides long. The record is from RefSeq and is a predicted model, not a curated record. NCBI's taxonomy places the organism in Eukaryota, Viridiplantae, Streptophyta, Magnoliopsida, Ericales, Theaceae.